Molecule: ribosomal RNA, 246 nt
Filed under: uncultured bacterium
Lineage: Bacteria
Description: partial 16S ribosomal RNA
Rfam family: Bacterial small subunit ribosomal RNA
Source: RNAcentral
CCGCUACCACGCGAGUGGAUGCCAAUCCCUAAAACCCCUCUCAGUUCGGACUGGAGUCUGCAACCCGACUCCACGAAGCUGGAUUCGCUAGUAAUCGCGCAUCAGCCACGGCGCGGUGAAUACGUUCCCGGGCCUUGUACACACCGCCCGUCAAGCCAUGGGAGCCGGGGGGUACCUGAAGUGCGUAACCGCGAGGAUCGCCCUAGGGUAAAACUGGUGACUGGGGCUAAGUCGUAACAAGGUAUC